CCAUAUUCCUAGGUGAGGACAAAGAAUAGGAAUGUCCUGGAAGCAAGGAUGACAGGGUUUCAUCCAUAUAUCAAACAUCUACCAAAUUCUAGGCACCAUAUGCAUCCAUCGUCUAAUCUAAUCCCCACAAAACCUCACUGUGGUAGGUAUUAUUAUCUCCAUUUUCAGAUAGGAAUGUGAAAUUUAUCAAGAUUAAGCAAUUUCCCAACUGCAGUGGUAUUUGAAAACAGGACUCUGAUAUCUAAGCUGUGUUUUUUGCCAUAUACAUGGCACACACCCCACCAAAGUGCAGGAAGACAAACCUAGAUGGAAAAAUUGAGAUCUCUGAAAACGUCCUAAGUUCCCCAGGAUGAAAAUAAUGAUAGCCUCAAUUUCCUUGCACCACACACAUCUAUAUAUACGCAUACGUAUAUACACAUAUAUGUGUAUGUAUGCCAAUUAUAUAAAUAUAAUUCAAAUUUAUAAAAUUAAACAUCAUAUAUAUACAUAUAUGUAUGUAUAACUUCAUUUGCUCUUCCCAACCACCCCCUCAGACAUUAUUCUUAAGUCAUAGAUGGAGACACUGACACCAAGAGGGGGUCAGUUACAUGCUCAAGUUUACACAAUGCCUAACCAAACUGGGAUCUAACCCAGAUCUGUCUGACUCCCCAUCCCCUGGGCCUUCUACCACACUACUCUGUCUUUCCCAAGGAGUGAAAUCUCCCUCUUUCAUUCCUUUCAACUGGAGACGAAGGUAAACUAGCUAAACUUAAAGUACAAAGAGGCCAAGAGCAAUGUGUUACUCCAUGCUUUCAAAUACUUGCAUUUUGUGCCACCUGGAUGCGCGGUGGGUUUUGACAGGCAAAAAUCACUGUGAAAGUUGGUGAUGUGAAAACCACGAGCAGCAGGCAAACUCUUUCCCAAAGCCCAUGGAACCCCUGCGAGCCAAUUCCAAACCAUGGACUCGCCCCCUUUCCUUUCAACUCAGGCUAUUCCAUUGGUCUGACUCACUAACGCCCACCUGGAGAAAGAAAUGACAGAACUGGAGAGAAUGUGGCAUGAAUACUGAGGUCCCUAUGUUUUAAUUUGCCUAAAAAUCUGUGUGUUGUUAAAACAAAUGUAGAAAUUAGCCAUAUGGGAACCUAGCCUGGGUACAUAUCUUCAUCUGUCACCACAUUUGGGGGGGGAAACACUGCAGAAUCAUCGUAGUGCUUAAGCUUGUAGAGAGGGAGAAAAGUCCACUUGGAAGCAAACUAAUACUGAACACAUGUUUAUGCUUUUGACCUCACAAUAUGGUAACUAAUGACGGUUCUGCAAAUAGACUUGGGAAAAUAAAUGGGUGAUUGCAGAGGGGAGAACCCCGAGGAGGGUGAUGAGCUUCAUUUCACCUCCGUUAGCCCUUAAUUUUUAACAGGACGGCAAGCACAAAUUCCGUACAGCCUGCCUAAAUAGACGAAAUCGGCGCCUUAUUCGGAAUUCAAAUCUUAGACCCGUGCAUGUAAUGCGGUGCCUUAAUAGGUUUCCAAACUCUCAUUUGGCCUCAGUUAUACAACCAGCUGACACUGAAAAUAAUUAAUGCCCUUUAGGACUCGCAUCUGCUCCUAUGGUUCCAAGUCAAGGUUUUUAAUUGGGCUAUUUUGGCAUUUGGAGACAAUGGCAAGGUGAAAUAACCUUUCUUUAAUAUUUUUGAGGUCAGCAGAUAGUCUUGCCAAAGGUCAUCCUUCAGGUUCACAAAUGAGUCAUUUGUAUCACCUAAUGCAAUCUGUGACUUGCAAAUUGCACUGGGAUGUGUUAGCGUGCAUUAAUUAGUCCAUGUGAUGAAUACGGAAUUCAUCAUUACUAGCCAGAGCUUGUAGAGAUGUGCCAAUACUUGUUUUGGUGGUUUGUGGUGGCUUAUUUUUAUUUUACACGCCACUUCCAAGCCUGGUCUGAGAUCUUCAACACCCCUGGCUCAAUAAUUGGCACACUAAACAAGUUAACCCUCUCUCUAAGGCACAGCCAGGAACUGCAGAAAGAUACACUGGCAUAAAAAUAUUACAAAGCAGGAAGCAACCACAGAUUCCUUGUCUUUGGUUUGUUGAAUCCAUAACUCAGCAUUAAAAGAUGAUUCUUUCUCCUCCACUGCUAACCUAGAGGGAAAGACAGAGAGAGACUCUUGUUUCAAACCCUUUGCUCAGAGCAAUGCCCAGAGUUGCACUGGGUCCUCUCAGCUGCUUGGCAGCUAUUGCCUAUAAUGAAGGCAUUAUUAAUUUCAGUUUCAGGAGACAGAAAAUCAGGAUGUGGACACUGUAUGGCUAUACCAUCUGUGCAGUUGACAUAUAUUGAUUCAU
This 2309-nucleotide long non-coding RNA is filed under the name Sus scrofa (pig). Its description in RNAcentral is "lncRNA (ENSSSCG00050076702.1)". The record is from RNAcentral. Lineage: Eukaryota; Metazoa; Chordata; Mammalia; Artiodactyla; Suidae.